RNAcentral lists this ribosomal RNA (795 nucleotides) under uncultured marine thaumarchaeote. RNAcentral describes it as "bacterial SSU rRNA". It matches the Rfam family "Archaeal small subunit ribosomal RNA", at positions 83 to 879 of the family's 1478-position model. The record is from RNAcentral. Lineage: Archaea; Thermoproteati; Nitrososphaerota.
CGGCUGCUCAGUAACACGUAGUCAACUUACCCUAUGGACGAGGAUAAUCUCGGGAAACUGAGCAUAAUACUCGAUAGAUCAUAAUGCCUGGAACGGUUUAUGGUUGAAAUGAUUCGUCGCCAUAGGAUAGGACCGCGGCCUAUCAGCUUGUUGGUGAGGUAAUGGCCCACCAAGGCGAUUACAGGUACGGGCUCUGAGAGGAGAAGCCCGGAGAUGGGUACUGAGACAAGGACCCAGGCCCUAUGGGGCGCAGCAGGCGAGAAAACUUUGCAAUGUGCGAAAGCACGACAAGGUUAAUCCGAGUGAUUUCUGCUAAAGAAAUCUUUUGCAAGUCAUAAAACCACUAGUGAAUAAGGGGUGGGCAAGUUCUGGUGUCAGCCGCCGCGGUAAAACCAGCACCUCAAGUGGUCAGGAGGAUUAUUGGGCCUAAAGCAUCCGUAGCCGGCUCUGUAAGUUUUCGGUUAAAUCCAUGUGCUCAACGCAUGGGCUGUCGAAAAUACUGCAUAGCUAGGGAGUGGGAGAGGUAGACGGUACUCGGUAGGAAGGGGUAAAAUCCUUUGAUCUAUCGAUGACCACCUGUGGCGAAGGCGGUCUACCAGAACACGUUCGACGGUGAGGGAUGAAAGCUGGGGGAGCAAACCGGAUUAGAUACCCGGGUAGUCCCAGCUGUAAACGAUGCAGACUCGAUGAUGCAUUGGCAUAUAGCCAGUGCAGUGUCGCAGGGAAGCCGUUAAGUCUGCCGCCUGGGAAGUACGUACGCAAGUAUGAAACUUAAAGGAAUUGGCGGGGGAGCAG